CUUUGUUUACAGAUGUAGAUAUAGAUAUCACACACAAAAAAAAAAUCAAAAUAAAAUAAAGCCUCCAGUCUGACAGCAUCCUUUUGUGUUUCAUGCCACAUUGUCUGUAAUUGUAAUAAGAUGUUUUGGGAGCAUUUCACAUGUGCUUGUUUCAUAUCUGUGCUGUGUUCAGUGGCAUCAGCAGGUGGAGAGACAGACAUGGUGGAACCACAGGCAGAGGGUGAACCAGCUGCAGGGUUCAGUCCAGGAUCAAAUCUUUUGAUACCAGUAGGUGCUCCAUGUGAAAGUAAUCUUGAAUGAUGAAUGAAGGCCCAGGCAGAAGUCUGGAUUUUAAGAGCAGAAAUCUCCAGGCCGAAGUCUCGCUAUGUCCAGAAAGUCAUCCGUAUGGAACACCCUGAAGAGGCAAUGGACCAGCUAACAGAAGAGCUCCAAGCAGCCCUGGACAAUCUGAAGAGCCAGAUGGGGAAAAUACACCAGUGCGAGGAAGAAAUUGAGAGAUUAAGAGAGAAAAUGGACAGCCACCAAAAAUGUUUUUUAGUCAAACUGGCAUCAGUGCUCCUAAGAAUAAA
This is a long non-coding RNA of Onychostoma macrolepis, 569 nucleotides long. RefSeq lists it as uncharacterized. The record is from RefSeq and is a predicted model, not a curated record. Lineage: Eukaryota; Metazoa; Chordata; Actinopteri; Cypriniformes; Cyprinidae. The transcript is spliced from 3 exons.